RNAcentral lists this ribosomal RNA (450 nucleotides) under uncultured bacterium. RNAcentral's name for it is "bacterial SSU rRNA". It matches the Rfam family "Bacterial small subunit ribosomal RNA", at positions 340 to 783 of the family's 1533-position model. The record is from RNAcentral.
UACGGGAGGCAGCAGGGGGGAAUAUUGCACAAUGGGCGCAAGCCUGAUGCAGCCAUGCCGCGUGUAUGAAGAAGGCCUUCGGGUUGUAAAGUACUUUCAGUCGUGAGGAAGGUGUUAAGGUUAAUAACCUUAGCAAUUGACGUUAGCGACAGAAGAAGCACCGGCUAACUCCGUGCCAGCAGCCGCGGUAAUACGGAGGGUGCGAGCGUUAAUCGGAAUUACUGGGCGUAAAGGGCACGCAGGCGGUUAAUUAAGUUGGAUGUGAAAUCCCCGGGCUUAACCUGGGAAUGGCAUUCAAGACUGGUUAGCUAGAGUCUUGUAGAGGGGGUAGAAUUCCAUGUGUAGCGGUGAAAUGCGUAGAGAUGUGGAGGAAUACCGGUGGCGAAGGCGGCCCCUGGACAAAGACUGACGCUCAUGUGCGAAAGCGUGGGGAGCAAACAGGGAUUAGAU